Molecule: long non-coding RNA, 1886 nt
Filed under: Phasianus colchicus (ring-necked pheasant)
Lineage: Eukaryota; Metazoa; Chordata; Aves; Galliformes; Phasianidae
Description: lncRNA (ENSPCLG00000001929.1)
Source: RNAcentral
GGCCCACAUUCAUUGAACACAUACACCAGCAUGGAGACAGCAACACAGAAAUCAGGGUCCACUGCAAAACCCAUCUGAAUUCUUAUCUGCCCCCACCCCCAGCAUACUUGGCAGCCUUCACUUCACUGGAUACUGCUGUGGUCAUGCUGCCAGCCAGCAUGUUUCAGUCCAGCUUUGGAGCAGCCCAGUGUUUCUGAGAAAUGCCUGCCAGGGAAGAGCUGGCUGCUCUCACCACACUGAGAGAUGGUUCAGGAAGACAAGUGUGGUGCCUCCCAGCACGAGAUGUUCUCAUGUCUCAGAUCAUGACCAAGCAUGAACCCAGGUAAUGAGAGGAGCAGUAAUGGUAAAAACAUACAUACUAACCUUUCAGGCUUCUACACAAGAAAGAGAAGUCACAUAAGUUACUAGGAUAGCUUAACUGCCAACAGUCAUUGGAACUCAUGUGUUUAGUUUGUCAGUGAAAAGUAUUCAAAGUAGUUUUCUCUGAAAUCGUCCUAUGAGUAAAAAUCAAAAAUAAGGACACUAGGGAGAUGUGUUAGUGAAUGGGCGAAAAGUAUGAAAGUUAGUGUAACUGCAUAAAUCAGAAGGUAUCCUUUUGCACAACAUCACAGAGAUUUCAGCAAGGUGCACAGUUCACUCCAACCAGCACUGCCACAGAGGCUGUCAUUACAGUGGCUGGUGGUGGUGGCUGGCAGGGAGCUCCGUGAGACAUUCCAUUUCUCUAGUAAUUGAGAGCCCAUUCCCUGCCAGUUGCUGAGCUUUCUCAAAUUCUGCCCCCUUCAGAUGAAGGCAAGGCAAGUCAUAUGUGCAUGACAAGAGGCUUUCACAGGGUGACAGUCUUUAAGGGCCAAAAUGUUCAUCACAGAUCAGGUUAAACAUUUACAUUUUUAAAAUGAAUCCAUUUUGAAAAUUCUACAGCUCUGUGCACCGAUGUUUAAACCUGCCUCACUCCCACCCUGGGUUUUAAAAACACCUUGGAUUGUGGAAAGCCAUUCCAGCCUUGAAAAAUGAAAAUGCAGUGUGUGGAACAGAUCAUUCAGCCAUUCCUGGCUGAAUUGUUAGAUACAGGAAGUCCAAGCUCUUCUGCUGCCUUAAAUGAACUUCUGGCAUAAGUUGGAUUAGACAACAAAUGUCCUCCAUGAGGGGAAGAAGGACUCUUGAUUAAAUGCCUGAACGAGGAAUCUUAUUUCUCUAUCACACAUGCUCUUGUCCAGAGUAUUUCUGGAGAAUCUGAGACAAUCAGUGGAUAUCUGAUUUUGAAAUGAUUGUUUCAACUUCAGCGUACAGAAGCAGAAAAAGGAGCAUAAUACUGUUUUAGAGCCAUCUACCAUACAGAACAUCCUCUGGCACUCAAAUCAGUACAUACGUUUUAUAACCCUUGAGAAUACAUUUGAUCUGUGAAGAGUUGGGUUGCUUGGAAGGUUGUUAAUAGCCUGGAAUGCUUCUGUGCUGUAAUUGAGAGAGCAACCUUCUCUCACAUUAUUAAAAGACUAAUGUCAGAUAAGCAGAUUUUUGAAUACUUUUACCGCUUCCAUUUUUUGACUAAGGAAUUCCUUAGGUAGAGAUAUAGCGCACAUCAAAACCCCAGAAGAGCCAGAUUUCACAGAUGAUAAUCUGGAUCAUUGACCAGAUGUGACAGUGUGUGAUUGAAGAGUCUGAGGAAUCUGAGGCAGUGAUGAUAAAAAGUAUACUGAAUACUGAAACAAAAUACACAGAUUGCAAAAGUAGAGUCAUUUGGGCUGGAAAUUUUGUGAGCUUUUCCUAUCAUUAAAGGAGAUAAUUGUACCGGGAUGGGAGGAGAAUAGUGGCUUCUACUGUUUCAAAAGUGUGGAAAUUAAGUUUAACUGAGAAAUAAACUUCAGUUCUGAACAUAAGCGUAGAGGAAA